Molecule: ribosomal RNA, 312 nt
Filed under: Ixodes apronophorus
Lineage: Eukaryota; Metazoa; Arthropoda; Arachnida; Ixodida; Ixodidae
Description: partial 16S ribosomal RNA
Source: RNAcentral
UUUUUUAAAUUGCUGUGGUAUUUUGACUAUACGAAGGUAUUGAAAUAAGAUUUUAAAUGAGUGCUAAGAGAAUGAUUAAACAAUUAAAGACUUUCUUUAAUUAAAGAAUUAAAUUUAAUUUUUUGAGUGCAAAAGCAAAAAUGAAAAUUAGGGACAAGAAGACCCUAUGAAUUUUUUAUUUAAUUUUUAAUUAUUUAAUUAUAAUUAAAUUUGAUUGGGGCGAUGGAAAAAGAAUAUAUAUCUUUUUUGGAUUAUAAUAAAUUGGUUCCGUUUUUAACGAUUAAAUGAAAAAAAUACUCUAGGGAUAACAGC